RNAcentral lists this ribosomal RNA (253 nucleotides) under uncultured bacterium. Its description in RNAcentral is "partial 16S ribosomal RNA". It matches the Rfam family "Bacterial small subunit ribosomal RNA", at positions 524 to 776 of the family's 1533-position model. The record is from RNAcentral.
UACGUAGGUGGCAAGCGUUAUCCGGAAUUAUUGGGCGUAAAGCGCGCGCAGGUGGUUUCUUAAGUCUGAUGUGAAAGCCCACGGCUCAACCGUGGAGGGUCAUUGGAAACUGGGAGACUUGAGUGCAGAAGAGGAAAGUGGAACUCCAUGUGUAGCGGUGAAAUGCGUAGAGAUAUGGAGGAACACCAGUGGCGAAGGCGACUUUCUGGUCUGUAACUGACACUGAGGCGCGAAAGCGUGGGGAGCAAACAGG